UCAGUCACAUACUAAGACUUGUGGUAAUAGUCUCUCUGAGACAACCCAUCUUGUUUUUUGGACAACUUUUGUAGGGCACUGAAUGAUGACUUUAAGGCCACAGAAAUGGAGACAGAGCCAGGUCUUGUGAAUCUCAGGCUGGCAUUCUGCUGACUACAUGGAACUGCACCAGACAGAGGAUUCACCUGUGAACUCUCAGCGUGAUAGAAGCCUUGUUGGAACAGGCAAAACCUGGCCUAUCCUCCCCUCUACUGCUUGAUAACACAGCAUGAAAAGAUGCCAACUAUAAAUACCUAAAGUAAGAGAUUAUCCUGACAUAAUUUGGAUUUAUAGAUCCUGUCAUAUUUUGGAAAGAGCAGAUGAAAAGCUAUGAACAGAGUUGGAGUUCUUUCACUCUCAGCAAAUGCGUUUGAUCCAUCGGAAAGAACUGUUUUCCCAGGUUGGGAUCAUUGUUCCCAGGUCUGCAGAGCACCCUAAAGACCGAAGAUUUAAUUUUCUCUUAACAGGGGUGUUAAAAAUGGAAUUUGGUGUUCUUUGCUCAAAUAUGGACAAAGGGCUGAGAAGCUGAGCUACUAGCAACCCUUACAGAAGUCAGCAAGUAUGCAUGUGCCGCCCAAGGAACACAGAGAGGUUAUGAAUUGAAUUCUCUCGUCACGAGGGGCCAGGGCACAGCCAGCCCUGCGCCUCAGCAAGGAAAGACAUUUCUUCUCCACUGUCAUGUCUGCAAUGACCUCCAGGUGGCCCCAUUUCCUACACAGCUUCUGUGCUGUACCAAGAAUGACCAGAGACCCCCAGUUAUGCUCUCCAGACUCCAGGUGCUGCCUUCUAUCUCCUUACCUCAGAGGCUUAGAGAAACUUAUAAUUUAGAGGCCACUUGCUAGAUGAGUUCAGAGACUGAAAUGUCAGCCAGUAACUGAGUCACAGGCUAUUGGGAGCCAGAUGCUUAUAAUCUACUAUCUGAUGGAGGUUUUAUGCUUUACAGAGGCCUGAUGUUUUAAAAGGUUAGUCUCCAGAUAAAAUCAUCUGCUGAUAUUCAUGCUGCCGUUUUAUCCAAAUACUGAAGAGGUGGAAAGUGCUCUAAUUAAAAAAAAAAUGUGCAGCAUAUUGAAACAUAAAUGAUCUGCAAAUAGACUGAAUGAGGUAAUGGAUCAGAGAGGUUCUUAAGACGGGAAGAGGUGAUUGGCACAAUAAGAGCUAGCCAAUGCUCUAUACUGAAUAUGGGGUAUCUGCUGACCCAGAAAGAGAUGAGAUUUUUGCUGCAUUUCUGAUGACUCAAGUAGGGGUAGCACCUCUAAGAAUAGAUUUAAGCUAUGCAUCUUUAGCAAGAAUGUCACAGAAAUGAUUCAGUCUUCUCAUAAACCCUAUUAGGUGGCAUACUGUUUUAACUUAUUGUAUUACUAAUGAUAUUUACUUUGAUCACUUGGUUAAAGUUGUAUCUACCAUGCUUCUCCAAGGUAACAUUACGUUCUUCCCCCUUUGUAAUUAGAAGGUAUUUUGUGGGAAGAUACUUUAAAUCUAUAUAAACAGCUCUUUCCUUAUUACUUUCAAUUUACCCAUGUAUUUAUUUGAUCUUAUUUAGUUUAAUAGGUAAUAAUCUUACUAUCAGUAUGGAUUUGGAUACUCAAAUUCUCCCAGAGCUGGCCAGAGGGAGUCCCUUCCAGCUUUUUUUUUUUUUGUCAUUUUGAUGUGGCCCAUUCUUCUUUGAGUACUUCCUGAGUUUCUACCACAAUAAAAUAUUCUAGGUUCAUUUUGUAUUUUCUCUUGCCCAAUCUGAAAUCAGCUAUUAUCCUAAGGUAUCUUUUAAUGGAGAAUUAUAUUUAAACACCCUGAUCUGGGUAUUAAGUGUUCUCACUGAUUUGGGGUGUUGCUACUCACAGUUCUUUUCAGUGGCCACAUAUAAAUAUAGAUGCCUUUGCAUUUACUUCUCUAUAUUUUAAAAAUCAAUUUUAUUGAAGUUUAUUUACAUACAAUAAAAGUAACCAU
Zalophus californianus (California sea lion) is the source of this 1983-nucleotide long non-coding RNA. The record is from Ensembl. NCBI's taxonomy places the organism in Eukaryota, Metazoa, Chordata, Mammalia, Carnivora, Otariidae.